UACGGAGGAGCCAUGCGUUAUCCGGAAUCUUCGGGUUUAGAGGGUCCGUAGGCGGGCAGUUAAGUAAGUGGUGAAAGUCUUCCGCUUAACGGGAGAACUGCCAUUGAUACUGAUUGUCUUGAGUUAUUAUUAAGUGGUUAGAAUGAGUAGUGUAGCGGUGAAAUGCAUAGAUAUUACUCAGAAUACCGAUUGCGAAGGCAGAUCACUAAUAAUAUACUGACGCUGAUGGACGAAAGCGUAGGUAGCGAACAGG
This 253-nucleotide unclassified non-coding RNA is filed under the name uncultured Flavobacteriaceae bacterium. RNAcentral's name for it is "contains 16S-23S intergenic spacer region". It matches the Rfam family "Bacterial small subunit ribosomal RNA", at positions 524 to 776 of the family's 1533-position model. Lineage: Bacteria; Pseudomonadati; Bacteroidota; Flavobacteriia; Flavobacteriales; Flavobacteriaceae. The record is from RNAcentral.